UACGAAGGGGGCUAGCGUUGCUCGGAAUGACUGGGCGUAAAGGGCGCGUAGGCGGUUUGGACAGUCAGGCGUGAAAUUCCUGGGCUUAACCUGGGGGCUGCGCUUGAUACAUCCAGACUUGAGUGGGGAAGAGGGUCGUGGAAUUCCCAGCGUAGAGGUGAAAUUCGUAGAUAUUGGGAAGAACACCGGUGGCGAAGGCGGCGACCUGGUCCUUUACUGACGCUGAGGCGCGAAAGCGUGGGGAGCAAACAGG
Molecule: ribosomal RNA, 253 nt
Filed under: uncultured bacterium
Lineage: Bacteria
Description: partial 16S ribosomal RNA
Rfam family: Bacterial small subunit ribosomal RNA
Source: RNAcentral